GAUGAACAACGCAGCGAAAUGCGAUAAGUAGUGUGAAUUGCAGAAUUCAGUGAAUCAUCGAAUCUUUGAACGCACAUUGCGCCCCUUGGUAUUCCAUGGGGCAUGCCUGUUCGAGCGUCAUUUGUACCUUCAAGCUCUGCUUGGUGUUGGGUGUUUGUCUCGCCUCUGCGUGUAGACUCGCCUCAAAACAAUUGGCAGCCGGCGUAUUGAUUUCGGAGCGCAGUACAUCUCGCGCUUUGCACUCAUAACGACGACGUCCAAAAGUACAUUUUUACACUCUUGACCUCGGAUCAGGUAGGGAUACCCGCUGAACUUAAGCAUAUCAAUAAGCGGAGGA
RNAcentral lists this unclassified non-coding RNA (337 nucleotides) under soil metagenome. RNAcentral's name for it is "partial contains 5.8S ribosomal RNA, internal transcribed spacer 2, and large subunit ribosomal RNA". The stretch from base 1 to 120 matches the Rfam family "5.8S ribosomal RNA", at positions 35 to 154 of the family's 154-position model. The record is from RNAcentral.